Selaginella moellendorffii is the source of this 2788-nucleotide RNA transcript. It is a transcript of the gene named probable splicing factor 3A subunit 1, with no coding region annotated. NCBI's taxonomy places the organism in Eukaryota, Viridiplantae, Streptophyta, Lycopodiopsida, Selaginellales, Selaginellaceae. The record is from RefSeq and is a predicted model, not a curated record. The transcript has 4 exons.
AUGCCGGGGAUUGGCGAAGUGCUCGCCCUUCCGGCGCCCAAGCCCGGCGACAUCGAUGGCCCCCUCCCGCCCGCGCAGCUCGUCAAGGCGGAGGACACGGAGAUGGAGGAUGCGGCGGCGGCGGCGGAUGUUAUCACCGGCGCCAAGCCCGCCACAGUGGCCUCGCAGACCCGCAACAUAGGUAUGAUCCAUCCCCCCCCAGACAUCAGGAGCAUCAUCGACAAGACCGCCCACUUCGUCGCCAAGAAUGGCGUGGAUUUCGAGCGCAAGAUCAUGACCAACGAGCAGAAGAACGUCAAGUUCAACUUCCUCAACUCCUCCGACCCAUACCACGCCUACUACCAGCACCGGAUCUCGGAGGAGAAGAGCGGCAACGGCCCCCCUCCGCCGCCGCCGCCCUCUUCCGCCACCGAUCCAUCCAAGCCACCGCUCUCCGCCACUGCCGCCGCCGCCGCCACCGCCACCGCCACCGCCGCGGCCCAGAAGUUCGAUAUCUCGCAGUUCAUACAGCCGUCCAAGGUGGUGGAGCCGCCGGAGGCCGAGCAGUUCCUCCUCAAGCUCCCCGAGGGGCUGACGGGCCAGGACCUGGACAUCAUCAAACUCACGGCUCAGUUCGUGGCAAGGAAUGGCAAGGCGUUUCUUACCGGGCUGACGAGCCGGGAGCACAACAGCGUCCAGUUCAGCUUCCUCAAGCCGCAGCACAGCCUCUUCACCACCUUCACGGGCCUCACGGACUCCUACUCCAAGGUGCUGCUGCCGCCCAAGGGCCUCCUGGACAAGCUCAAGCGCGACCUGUCGGACAAGAUGUCCAUCCUGGAGCGCUGCCUCCACCGGCUCGAGUGGGAGAGAUCGCAGGAGAAGGCGCGGCAGAAGGCCGAGGACGAGGAGGAGCAGGAGCGGAUGAUGAUGAGCAGCAUCGACUGGCACGACUUCGUGGUGGUGGAGACGAUCCACUUCGUGGAGGAGGAGGACGACGCGUUGCCGGCGCCGGUGACGCAGGAGGAGGUGAUCCGCAGGAGCAAGGCGCUGACGGACGAGGAGGUGGCGGCGGAGACGGGGGCGGGGGCGGUCAAGGAGGUGGAGAUGGAGAUGGACGAGGAGGAGAUGCACCUGGUGGAGGAAAGUCGCAAGGCCGCCGCCCGGCAGCAGGAGGCCGCCAACGCCAAGGAGGUUGUCCAGGUGAUUGUCCCGGUGGACGAGGACGAGCCGCCGAUGAGGAUCGUGAGGAACUGGAAGAGGCCGGAGGAGAGGAUGGCGACCGAGAAGGACCCCACCAGGAUGGUCAUCUCUCCCAUAACUUCGGAGGUGAUCCCCAUCAGCGAGAUGGCGGAACACAUGCGGAUCUCGCUCAUCGACCCCAAGUUCAAGGAGCAGAAGGAGCGGAUGAUGGCCAAGCUGCGGGAGAGCACGCUCGCUACCGACGACGAGAUCUCGCGGAACCUCAUGGGGCUGGCUCGGCUGAGGCCCGACAUCUUCGGCACCACCGAGGAGGAAGUCUCCAAUGCCGUCAAGGCCGAGAUCGAGAAGAAGAAGGAGGAGCCGAAGCAGGUGAUCUGGGACGGCCACAGUGGGAGCAUCAGCAGGACAGCCAACCAGGCGCUUGCUCAAAACGCUGAGGAGUGGGACGCAGCUACCGGAGCGGCCAAACCAACGCCACCUUUGAAGCCACUUCCACCACCUGCUGGACUUGCUGUUAACAUCCCUCGGGUACAGGCGACUAUCCAGGCUCCUCCUGUUCCUCCGAGGCAGCCUCUCUUUCCAACUCCCAUGCCUGCGGUCCCUCAGCUUGGAAACAGACCCAUGACGCUACCGACGAUGGCAAUGCCUCACUAUCAGUUUGUUCCUGGGAUGCCUCCACCACCACUUAUGCAAAUGCAGCCGCCUCCACCAGCUUAUCAAGCGAUGCCUCCGCUACCCGACGAUGACAUGUUGAUGCCGCCACCUCCGGAGGAGCCCGAGCCCAAGAGACUGAGGCUGGAAGAUUCGCUUCUCAUCCCAGAGCACCAGUUUGCCUUCCAGUACCCGGGACCAAUUCCUGUCUCGGUGGCUGUACCUACAGUCGAAGGUGAAGGCAGUCUCAAGGGCCAGGUGCUGCAACUGACAAUGCCGUCGGUGUCGGAGACGAUUGCUAGCCUCAAGGAGAAGAUUGCUGCAGAGAUCGGUCUACCGGCCAACAAGCAGAAGCUGAGCGGACGCAUUGGGUUCUUGCGAGAUACGCAGUCUCUUGCCUUCUACAACAUUGCACCUGGCGAGAGCCUUACCUUACUCCUCAGGGAACGAGGUGGCAAAAAGAAGAACUGAAAAUGCUGCUGUGGCUUCCUACGAGUCAGAGAUCGUUGCUAGGUACAUCCAAUGAUCAUUACCUACGGGACGAGCUGGAUGAAACCUGCAGGCCGGCACUUCAAAACACAGGCAUUUCCAUUCGAAAACGGACCUUUCAAACCGGCACGAUUGUGUCGUAUGUGCUGCAGUGCUCGAGUCGCUUCAUGACGUAUUCGAUGAACUCGCAGAUGGGCCUGAAGGCUGACAUCGUCGUCCGCUCGUGCACCGUUGUCCCAGCUGACAGUACGAAGCAUCGAUAGCUUUCGUUGGUGGAUGGUUGCUGUUCCAUGGGCGGCUGCGGUUUCAUUGGGGGCAGCUCGUCAACUUCUUCGUCGUGGUCAGAAGAGGGAGAUUCCACCAUAAUCGCUUUCCCUUUCCUGGAUCUGUCCUGUUCUUCCUUGUCAACGAUGGCUUCGUUGUUCUUGGCAGUAUUGUCGUGCCAGACCUCGAAGAGCUGUGUUUUGCC